AUUGGACAUGGAAUGGCAUCAAUGGGAGAAAAAUAAGUAGAUUGGAAGUUUUUUACCUCCAGACUAAAAAAUUGUGAAGAAUGUCAUUCAGAAAUGUGACAUUGCAGCUGCACAGGGAUUUGGGAUGAUGACUUGCAAGGAUUGCCUCUGGACUAGUGGUUACUCUUUGGUAACAUUUAAAAAGACAAUUUCUUAAUGUCCGGCACAGUGAACUUCAUCUCCGUUAUGAACAAGGAAAAGCUGAUCACUGAUGGGAAAAUCACAGGUGCUGAGAUACACCUACAUCAGUCAUGAAAAUUUGAGACUGCAAGAGAGCCAAGAUUUUACCCACAUGGAUUCUGAAGUUGAUGAUGACUGUGGAUAACAUCAGGCGUCACAGAUACAAAACACCUUCCAGACAUGAAACGCGGGAUGGAUGACCCUGAGGGACACAGAUUCAGGUAAGUGAAAUUUCUUGUGGAUCGUGACUGAUUAGGGACUUAGAUACCAAACACAAGUGCUGGUAUCCUUUUUGGGCCAUGCAGGUACUCCUUACGAUAGCAAAAUUCCAAGCUUCAAAUGCCACCCCAAGUCAAGAAUUGUAAGGCUCUACAUGAGUAGAAUGUGUGGUUAGGCAAGAGGCUUCCUGUUCAACCAAACCGUGCCAUAGUUGUUGACAAUAAAUAUUCGGUAUCUUUCUCCGACG
Molecule: long non-coding RNA, 685 nt
Filed under: Taeniopygia guttata (zebra finch)
Lineage: Eukaryota; Metazoa; Chordata; Aves; Passeriformes; Estrildidae
Description: lncRNA (ENSTGUG00000027838.1)
Source: RNAcentral